UAAAAUAUUAAUGUAUAAUUUUUAUAUAUACUAUUACUU
Molecule: transfer RNA, 39 nt
Filed under: Apis mellifera (honey bee)
Lineage: Eukaryota; Metazoa; Arthropoda; Insecta; Hymenoptera; Apidae
Description: partial tRNA-Ile
Source: RNAcentral